RNAcentral lists this ribosomal RNA (1039 nucleotides) under uncultured bacterium. RNAcentral describes it as "bacterial SSU rRNA". It matches the Rfam family "Bacterial small subunit ribosomal RNA", at positions 60 to 1110 of the family's 1533-position model. The record is from RNAcentral.
AGUCGAACGGCAGCACGGGUGCUUGCACCUGGUGGCGAGUGGCGAACGGGUGAGUAAUAUAUCGGAACGUGCCCUAGAGUGGGGGAUAACGUAGCGAAAGUUACGCUAAUACCGCAUACGAUCUACGGAUGAAAGUGGGGGACCGCAAGGCCUCACGCUCCUGGAGCGGCCGAUAUCUGAUUAGCUAGUUGGUGGGGUAAAAGCCUACCAAGGCGACGAUCAGUAGCUGGUCUGAGAGGACGACCAGCCACACUGGGACUGAGACACGGCCCAGACUCCUACGGGAGGCAGCAGUGGGGAAUUUUGGACAAUGGGGGCAACCCUGAUCCAGCAAUGCCGCGUGUGUGAAGAAGGCCUUCGGGUUGUAAAGCACUUUUGUCAGGAACGAAACGGUGGGGGCUAAUAUCCUCUGCUAAUGACGGUACCUGAAGAAUAAGCACCGGCUAACUACGUGCCAGCAGCCGCGGUAAUACGUAGGGUGCAAGCGUUAAUCGGAAUUACUGGGCGUAAAGCGUGCGCAGGCGGUUGUGCAAGACAGAUGUGAAAUCCCCGGGCUCAACCUGGGAAUUGCAUUUGUGACUGCACGGCUAGAGUGUGUCAGAGGGGGGUAGAAUUCCACGUGUAGCAGUGAAAUGCGUAGAUAUGUGGAGGAAUACCGAUGGCGAAGGCAGCCCCCUGGGAUAACACUGACGCUCAUGCACGAAAGCGUGGGGAGCAAACAGGAUUAGAUACCCUGGUAGUCCACGCCCUAAACGAUGUCUACUAGUUGUCGGGUCUUAAUUGACUUGGUAACGCAGCUAACGCGUGAAGUAGACCGCCUGGGGAGUACGGUCGCAAGAUUAAAACUCAACGAAUUGACGGGGACCCGCACAAGCGGUGGAUGAUGUGGAUUAAUUCGAUGCAACGCGAAAACCUUACCUACCCUUGACUGUUCGGAACCUGCUGAGAGUGGGGGUGCUCGAAAGAAGCGUACACAGUGCUGCAUGCUGCGUCAGCUCUGUCUGAGAGUCGAUAGUCCGCACGAGCGCAACCUUGUCAU